Molecule: ribosomal RNA, 1164 nt
Filed under: uncultured bacterium
Lineage: Bacteria
Description: bacterial SSU rRNA
Rfam family: Bacterial small subunit ribosomal RNA
Source: RNAcentral
CAACAAGUGGGGUGGCCUAACUCAGUAUAGUCAAGCGACAAGUUUGGCGUUCCCUGAGUCAUGCGUCGUUCCGGUGAGUAACUGGUGGGGCAUCUACCUCUUAGUGGGGAAUAACUCUGGGAAAUCGGAGGUAAUACCUGAUGUGCCUGAAAAGGGAAAGCACUCAUGUGCUGAGAGAUGACCCCGCGGCCCAUUUUCUAGUUGGGGAAGUAAAGGCUCACCAAGGCUUAAAUCGGCAGCCGGCCUGAGAGGGGAGGCGGUUUGCUGGCACUGAAACACUGGCCUUCCUCCUACACUGACUCGCUGUGGGGAAUCUUGCAGCUGGGGGGCAACCCUGAUGCUCCCUCGCCGGGGGAGCGAUGAAUCCCUUCGGGGCGUAAAGAUCUUUCGGCCAAAACCAUAAUGACGGUACGGGAAGAAGAAGCUGCGAAUAACUACAUGCCAGCAGCCGCGGUAAUACUCCGGCAGCAAGCGUUGUUCGAAGUUACUGGGCAUAAAGAGUGCGUAGGCGGAUUCCUAAAAUCGGUGUGAGAUCUCCCGGAUUCACUGGGAUGCCGCCCCGAAGAUUGCUCAGCUACUCGAUGGGAAAGACCCUCGGAAUUCCUGGUACCUGUCCGAAAUGCCUCCCUUUCAGGAGGAACACCCUUUCUGUAGACUCACUUGCUAGACCUCUCCUGACGCUGAAGCACGAAAGCUCCAGUAGCAAACUGGAUUAGAUACCCCGGUAGUCCACGCCCUAGACGAUGCUUACUUGGUGUGGGCAGUUCUGUCUGUCCGUGCCGAAGACAACACUUAAAGUAUGCCGCCUGGGGAGUACGGUCGCAAGGCUGAAAUCAAAGGAUUUGACCGGGGCCCGCAAAUCUUGAAGAGCAUGUGCUUUAAUUGACACAACGCGAAAAAACCUAUAUCUGUAUCUCGCACUCUUCUCAAACCCCUGUGGUACCAACAGAUGAUCUCGCAAGGUCUUAAACUCGAGAUGCUGCAUGGCUGUCUAUCAGCUCGUGUUGUUGAUAUGUAGCGUCAGAUUACGCACGAACGCAACGCCUGUCACUGAUGUUGCUACGCUGCUUAUUCGAGCAGCUCUCUGAGAGAUCAGUCGGACGAUAAAGCUGCAGGUAAGGUGGGUGUUAUGAACGUCGAGUAUAUUCCAGGACGUGUAUCUGU